This 253-nucleotide ribosomal RNA is filed under the name uncultured bacterium. RNAcentral describes it as "partial 16S ribosomal RNA". It matches the Rfam family "Bacterial small subunit ribosomal RNA", at positions 524 to 776 of the family's 1533-position model. The record is from RNAcentral.
UACGAAGGGGGCUAGCGUUGCUCGGAAUCACUGGGCGUAAAGCGCACGUAGGCGGGUCCUUAAGUCAGGGGUGAAAUCCCGGAGCUCAACUCCGGAACUGCCUUUGAUACUGGAGAUCUUGAGUCCGGGAGAGGUGAGUGGAACUCCGAGUGUAGAGGUGAAAUUCGUAGAUAUUCGGAAGAACACCAGUGGCGAAGGCGGCUACCUGGACCAGCACUGACACUGAGGCACGAAAGCGUGGGGAGCAAACAGG